Molecule: ribosomal RNA, 452 nt
Filed under: uncultured bacterium
Lineage: Bacteria
Description: bacterial SSU rRNA
Rfam family: Bacterial small subunit ribosomal RNA
Source: RNAcentral
AACGAACGCUGGCGGCAUGCCUAACACAUGCAAGUCGAACGAAACCUUCGGGCUUAGUGGCGCACGGGUGCGUAACACGUGGGAAUCUGCCCUUCGGUUCGGAAUAACAGUUAGAAAUGACUGCUAAUACCGGAUGAUGACGAAAGUCCAAAGAUUUAUCGCCGAAGGAUGAGCCCGCGUAGGAUUAGGUAGUUGGUAGGGUAAUGGCCUACCAAGCCGACGAUCCUUAGCUGGUCUGAGAGGAUGAUCAGCCACACUGGGACUGAGACACGGCCCAGACUCCUACGGGAGGCAGCAGUGGGGAAUAUUGGACAAUGGGCGAAAGCCUGAUCCAGCAAUGCCGCGUGAGUGAUGAAGGCCUUAGGGUUGUAAAGCUCUUUUACCAGGGAUGAUAAUGACAGUACCUGGAGAAUAAGACUCCGGCUAAACUCCGUGCCAGCAGCCGCGGUAAU